GGGGAUGUAGCUCAGUGGUAGAGCGCUUGCCUCGCAUGUGUGAGGCACUGGGUUUUAUCCUCAGCACCACUU
Ictidomys tridecemlineatus (thirteen-lined ground squirrel) is the source of this 72-nucleotide non-coding RNA. The record is from Rfam. Lineage: Eukaryota; Metazoa; Chordata; Mammalia; Rodentia; Sciuridae.